CAGGGUCUUGUGAACGAUUUUCGGGUGCUGCCAUAUUGGAUGCCGUCACCGGAAGUGAUAUUGCAGUGUUUGGUUAUAUGUACCAGUCAGACAAUAUCAUGGCGGUGGCCUGCAGAAAUCAUCAAGGGGGUACCCACAUUCCCCUGGCUAUGCUGGAAGUGUCUCAGAUUCUGUCUUGGGCAGAGAGGGAUCAUUGCUCUCUAUCAGCAGUACUCACAUACCAGGUGUGAACAACAGGAAGCGGAUUAUCUCAGCCAUCAAUUGGUUCAUCCUUGAGAGUGGUCUCUCCUUCAGGAUAACUUUGAUCAAAUGGGGUCUACUGGACAUCUUAUUUAAAUCACAAACUUCCAAAGUAUUGUGCAAGAUCAGGAGAUCCAAAGGCUCAAAUGAUAGACACCUUGGUGUGACCAUUAAAUUUUCAUCUUGCA
This is a long non-coding RNA of Bombina bombina (fire-bellied toad), 428 nucleotides long. RefSeq lists it as uncharacterized. The record is from RefSeq and is a predicted model, not a curated record. The transcript is spliced from 2 exons. Lineage: Eukaryota; Metazoa; Chordata; Amphibia; Anura; Bombinatoridae.